Long non-coding RNA from Cannabis sativa, 1579 nucleotides. RefSeq lists it as uncharacterized. The transcript has 2 exons. The record is from RefSeq and is a predicted model, not a curated record. Lineage: Eukaryota; Viridiplantae; Streptophyta; Magnoliopsida; Rosales; Cannabaceae.
UUUGAGCUUUAGAAGUUUCGAAAUUAGGGUUAUCAAAUGUAUUCAAUUAGCUUAGGAAAGAGAGAGAGGGUGAGAUGAAAAACGAUAAUAAGGAGUCAGACCACUAUUUAAUGUAAUUCAAAUCUACAUUCUAUUAGGAGUAGGAUUAAUAUGAGCCGUUGGAUUUUUUCGGUUGAUUGUAAGGUCAUUUUUACCCCUUUCACGUUUUUUAUCUUAUUUAUUUUAUUCCCACAUUCUUCUCAACGAACUGGUUACUGGUUACUGGUUACUGGUUACUGGUUACUGUUACAAAUCGUCGGCGAACUCAUCGAUUCCUUCCAACGAUUCCUUCAGUUUCUUUUCCGUUGCUAUGUUCAAAUAGCUCAUUAAUUUCCACAAACAGAUAUGGCGACUAUACAGUUCUGCGUCACCUUAUUGAGUAGAUUUGAGUGGUGGUGGGGAUAAUUAGGCAGAUGUGAGAGUUUUGGAAGAUUUCGAACUUGGCGAUUAUUAUUCAAGACAAGGGUUUCGGUUGAUUUCUAGGUGGGUGAUGUCAUGUGGGAGCCACUAUUGACAUAUGCAUUUGUUCAUUUGUUAAUAAGAGAAUGUAAAUGUAGUUGCCAAUGUAAAUGUUAAUAUGAAUAGUGAUCUCCUUAAAGAAAGACUUGCUUGUACUCUGGCUUAGUUGCUAUAGUUGAACUUGAAGAAUCUAUGUUUUGGCAUGCACUAGAACUAGAAUCCAUCAAUUCUCAAAUGAGAUGAAUAGAAUCCAUCCGGACCUAAACACUCCACAAGCCUUUGAACUCGAUAUUCCAAAAAUACAUCUUUAAUAUCUGAGCCAACUUUGAGUUCUUCCAUAUUGCCAAACAGAAGAAUAUCUCCUAAUGAGCAGAACAUGGAUUUAGACUCUGUAACUAUCUUCAGGACUUGCGAAGCCACUUCAGUUAUUGCAACAUUUGUGGGUGCACAAAGAAGAGUUCUGUAGUUCAUUUUUAAGAGGGAAACAAGAAGAGUAGCAUUGGCUUUCGUCUUUCCUGUCCCAGGCGGACCCCAUAUAAGCUCAAAAGCAUCUCUGCUCUUGCAGUGCAUCAUGUGACGACAAGCAAGAACUGCACUAGUCUGAGACUCAUUCAUAUUGGAAGAUAGACUCUUCACUAACUUCACCUCACAUCUGCAACAAUUCUCCUCAGGACAGGUAAAUGAAUUGAAACAGAUUGAAGCAUGGUUAAUGGAAACACAUUCUAGUUAAAAAGCUUACCCAUGAACGAUUACUUAGAACAUAUUUAAGCAAAUCAAGAUUGCAUGACAUAUGCAAUGCCUUCCAAACUGUUAGACCCUGCGAUUAGUAUGGUGGGCUAGCAUAUAUUAAAUAGAAGGGUAUUUGAGUCUUUGUUUAGAGGGUAGUGUUUAGGAGAAAAUACAAUAGUAUAUAUAGGUGAGUAAGAUAAUAGAGAGGGGGUAAUGUAUUGAGUAAAUUUCUAUUUGCACCAAAGGGGCCUAAGGGCUCCCUUACUUUGUAAUUGGGUUUCUCAUACAUUCAAUAUACAUUUCCUAUUGUUUUGCUACUGUUCUAUUCCUAUUAUUGCUGCUGUUUGUGCUA